Molecule: ribosomal RNA, 497 nt
Filed under: uncultured bacterium
Lineage: Bacteria
Description: partial 16S ribosomal RNA
Rfam family: Bacterial small subunit ribosomal RNA
Source: RNAcentral
GAUGAACGCUGGCGGCGUGCCUAAUACAUGCAAGUCGAGCGAACGGACGAGGAGCUUGCUCCUCUGAUGUUAGCGGCGGACGGGUGAGUAACACGUGGAUAACCUACCUAUAAGACUGGGAUAACUUCGGGAAACCGGAGCUAAUACCGGAUAAUAUUUUGAACCGCAUGGUUCAAUAGUGAAAGACGGUCUUGCUGUCACUUAUAGAUGGAUCCGCGCUGCAUUAGCUAGUUGGUAAGGUAACGGCUUACCAAGGCAACGAUGCGUAGCCGACCUGAGAGGGUGAUCGGCCACACUGGAACUGAGACACGGUCCAGACUCCUACGGGAGGCAGCAGUAGGGAAUCUUCCGCAAUGGGCGAAAGCCUGACGGAGCAACGCCGCGUGAGUGAUGAAGGUCUUCGGAUCGUAAAACUCUGUUAUUAGGGAAGAACAUAUGUGUAAGUAACUGUGCACGUCUUGACGGUACCUAAUCAGAAAGCCACGGCUAACUACGUG